RNAcentral lists this microRNA precursor (74 nucleotides) under Medicago truncatula (barrel medic). RNAcentral's name for it is "MIR5272 microRNA precursor family". It matches the Rfam family "MIR5272 microRNA precursor family". Lineage: Eukaryota; Viridiplantae; Streptophyta; Magnoliopsida; Fabales; Fabaceae. The record is from Rfam by way of RNAcentral.
UUUGAGGUGAAUUGAUUUAUGUUUGGACACACUUGUUUAAAAGUGGUUUUUACAAGUUGACGUUGUUUAGAUAG